This is a long non-coding RNA of Helianthus annuus (common sunflower), 362 nucleotides long. RefSeq lists it as uncharacterized. NCBI's taxonomy places the organism in Eukaryota, Viridiplantae, Streptophyta, Magnoliopsida, Asterales, Asteraceae. The record is from RefSeq and is a predicted model, not a curated record. The transcript is spliced from 3 exons.
UCUAGGGUUUCAUGAGAGUAUGAGGAUGAGCUUGGUAAGACGAUGCGACGGUGCGACGGUGUUGAGGACCUAACCAUCGCCUCCAACAAUGGUGGCUAGGGUUUCUUACAGAUCUGACGUAUAAUUUUCGGAGAGUUUUGGUAAAUUGGCGACCAUACAUACGAUAUCAGUUGUAAAGUGCACAAGUAUAAUGUCUUAUCCAUGAAUAUUAGACAUGUUUGAGGGGUACACCAAAAAGAAGCUCAUUGUUACCAAGAACCAGGGAUUGGAUGUUAGUUUGAAUUUGGGUUCCUCUUCGUUGGCUGAUGGUUCGAAAUGGACGGAUUGGAUCGUGGCGGUCAUUAUAAACAGCCGAAAGUUAA